ACUCCUACGGGAGGCAGCAGUGGGGAAUAUUGGACAAUGGGCCACGAGCCUGAUCCAGCAAUUCUGUGUGCACGAUGAAGGUCUUCGGAUUGUAAAGUGCUUUCAGUCGGGAAGAAGAAAGUGACGGUACCUACAGAAGAAGCACCGGCUAACUAUGUGCCAGCAGCCGCGGUAAU
RNAcentral lists this ribosomal RNA (176 nucleotides) under uncultured bacterium. RNAcentral's name for it is "partial 16S ribosomal RNA". It matches the Rfam family "Bacterial small subunit ribosomal RNA", at positions 335 to 524 of the family's 1533-position model. The record is from RNAcentral.